UGAGUACGAGAUGCUACGGCAUCGAAGCAGUCUAUGUCAUACUUCCAAGAAAAGCUUGCACUGUCAGAAACAGAUAAUGCCUGUACCAUAACCGACACAGGUGGGUAGGUAGAGUAUACUAAGGGGCGCGAGAUAACUCUCUCUAAGGAACUCGGCAAAAUGACUCCGUAACUUCGGGAGAAGGAGUGCCUUAUUUUUAAGGUUGCAAUAACAAGAUCCAAGCAACUGUUUACCAAAAACACAGGUCUCCGCUAAGUCGUAAGACGAUGUAUGGGGGCUGACGCCUGCCCAGUGCCAGAAGGUUAAAGAAGUCGGUUAGCAUUCGCGAAGCUGGUAACUGAAGCCCUGGUGAACGGCGGCCGUAACUAUAACGGUCCUAAGGUAGCGAAAUUCCUUGUCGGGUAAGUUCCGACCCGCACGAAAGGCGUAAUGAUUUGGAUACUGUCUCGGAGAGGGGCUCGGUGAAAUAGACUUGUCUGUGAAGAUGCGGACUACCUGCACCUGGACAGAAAGACCCUAUGAAGCUUUACUGUAACUUGAAAUUGAAAUUGGACUUUAUUUGCGCAGUAUAGGUGGGAGGCGUUGAAAAUAUUCUUGCGGGAAUAUUGGAGCCAUCAGUGAGAUACCACUCUUGUAAUGUUAGAUUUCUAACUUUAUAUCAUUAUCUGGUUAAAGAACAGUUUCAGGCGGGCAGUUUGACUGGGGCGGUCGCCUCCCAAAUGGUAACGGAGGCGCACAAAGGUUUCCUCUGAACGGGUAGAAAUCGUAUCUAGAGUGUAAAGGCAUAAGGAAGCUUGACUGUGAGACCUACAAGUCGAGCAGGGACGAAAGUCGGUCUUAGUGAUCUGACGGUGCUGAGUGGAAAGGCCGUCACUCAACGGAUAAAAGUUACUCUAAGGAUAACAGGCUGAUCUCCCCCAAGAGUUCACAUCGACGGGGAGGUUUGGCACCUCGAUGUCGGCUCAUCGCAUCCUGGGGCGGUAGUACGUCCCAAGGGUUGGGCUGUUCGCCCAUGAAAGCGGUACGCGAGCUGGGUUCAGAACGUCGUGAGACAGUUCGGUCCAUAUCCGGUGUAGGCGUUAGAAUAUUGAGAGGAGCCUUCUUUAGUACGAGAGGACCGAGAAGGACAUACCUCUGGUGUACCAGUUAUCGUGCCAACGGUAAACGCUGGGUAGCUAUGUAUGGAGUGGAUAACCGCUGAAAGCAUCUAAGUGGGAAGCCCACCUCAAGAUGAG
RNAcentral lists this ribosomal RNA (1235 nucleotides) under metagenome. RNAcentral describes it as "bacterial LSU rRNA". It matches the Rfam family "Bacterial large subunit ribosomal RNA", at positions 1564 to 2808 of the family's 2925-position model. The record is from RNAcentral.